CCUACGGGCGGCAGCAGUAGGGAAUAUUGCUCAAUGGGGGAAACCCUGAAGCAGCAACGCCGCGUGAAGGAUGAAGGUUUUCGGAUUGUAAACUCCUUUUGAUAGAGAAGUUAAUGACUGUAUCUAACGAAUAAGCACCGUCUAACUCCGUGCCAGCAGCCGCGGUAAUACGGAGGGUGCAAGCGUUACUCGGAAUCACUGGGCGUAAAGGGCGCGUAGGCGGGUUAGCAAGUCAGAUGUGAAAUCCUAUGGCUUAACCAUAGAACUGCAUUUGAAACUGUUAGUCUAGAGUAUGGGAGAGGUAGGUGGAAUUCUUGGUGUAGGGGUAAAAUCCGUAGAGAUCAAGAAGAAUACUCAUUGCGAAGGCGGCCUGCUAGAACAUAACUGACGCUGAUGCGCGAAAGCGUGGGUAGCAAACAGGAUUAGAUACCCUAGUAGUC
This 440-nucleotide ribosomal RNA is filed under the name uncultured bacterium. RNAcentral's name for it is "partial 16S ribosomal RNA". It matches the Rfam family "Bacterial small subunit ribosomal RNA", at positions 338 to 795 of the family's 1533-position model. The record is from RNAcentral.